AUUGAACGCUGGCGGCAUGCCUUACACAUGCAAGUCGAACGGCAGCACGGGAGCAAUCCUGGUGGCGAGUGGCGAACGGGUGAGUAAUACAUCGGAACGUGCCCAGUAGUGGGGGAUAGCCCGGCGAAAGCCGGAUUAAUACCGCAUACGACCUACGGGUGAAAGCGGGGGAUCGCAAGACCUCGCGCUAUUGGAGCGGCCGAUGGCAGAUUAGCUAGUUGGNGGGGUAAAGGCCCACCAAGGCGACGAUCUGUAGCUGGUCUGAGAGGACGACCAGCCACACUGGGACUGAGACACGGCCCAGACUCCUACGGGAGCAGCAGUGGGGAAUUUGGACAAUGGGCGCAAGCCUGAUCCAGCCAU
RNAcentral lists this ribosomal RNA (363 nucleotides) under uncultured bacterium. RNAcentral describes it as "bacterial SSU rRNA". It matches the Rfam family "Bacterial small subunit ribosomal RNA", at positions 29 to 395 of the family's 1533-position model. The record is from RNAcentral.